UUCUUUAUGUCUUACAAAGGUGCACACAAUGUUUACCUUCAUGAAGGUGUGUUGCUUUUUUGCGAAGUGGUUUUGGGAGUAGGUCUGAUAUGUGUCAAAUUUCCUGCUUCAAAUCUGGAUCGAAAAACAAAAAAUGGGUCCCUCAAGUUGCAGUGUGAUGAUGUUUCUCAUUAUUUCUGCAUUUUUCUAUGGAUUCUGUCCUUCAUUCCACCGGAGUCUGUGUCUCUAAGCAAUCAGAUUUCAGUGGUGUGAAGUGUAGAAGGCAUGGAGUCAUCACACAAACUUACCUGCAUGCAGACAAAUUCUAAACCACAGGAGAGACUGGACAACAGAACAGAAUGAGGGUGUUAAUGAGAAUCACCAAGACCAUAUGUCUUUAUAAUCAAUGAACCAAACUCCACAUUGGCCAUAGCUAAGUGAUUUUAGUUUUGGGGUUAGAGUCAGUUUUUGUAUUUGUAGAUCAGUAUCAGUAUUCACAUCCUUUUCUCUGGAGUAUGUGUUUGAGUGGAGGCGUGUAUAUUUAGUUUCAUUUGCUGCUUGGAUCACUUGGUGUAUGCUAAAAAGUGUAAAUGUAUUCCUCCCCUGACCUUGUGCCCUCCAUCUUUGUACAGAGAGGUUUUAAGUUCAUAACUUCCCCACUUUUAACCUCCCCAUAAACCAGUUUGCCUUGCAUGUGCCCUUUUACACAAGGCAUCGAUAUCAGACACAAUGUUGAUUUUUUUUUUCUAUUUGUGGGCCAAAAAGCCUACAUGUGGUGCGCGUGCACACACACACACACACACACACUUCCAAGAUGAGUUUGGACGAUGACCUCUUAUGCAAAUAAACUUGGUACAGAUUCUGUUUUAUAUUACUCUGUUUACUGUGUUUAAUCCUCAUAAUAAAAUACACUUAUGCUAAAUGCA
Neoarius graeffei (lesser salmon catfish) is the source of this 905-nucleotide long non-coding RNA. RefSeq lists it as uncharacterized. The transcript is spliced from 2 exons. Lineage: Eukaryota; Metazoa; Chordata; Actinopteri; Siluriformes; Ariidae. The record is from RefSeq and is a predicted model, not a curated record.